RNAcentral lists this ribosomal RNA (373 nucleotides) under uncultured bacterium. RNAcentral's name for it is "bacterial SSU rRNA". It matches the Rfam family "Bacterial small subunit ribosomal RNA", at positions 527 to 898 of the family's 1533-position model. The record is from RNAcentral.
AGAGGGUGCAAACGUUGUUCGGAAUUACUGGGCGUAAAGCGCGUGUAGGCGGCUAUGCAAGUCGGGCGUGAAAUCCCACGGCUCAACCGUGGAAGUGCACUCGAAACUGCGUAGCUAGAGUCCCGGAGAGGAAGGUGGAAUACUUGGUGUAGAGGUGAAAUUCGUAGAUAUCAAGUGGAACACCGGUGGCGAAGGCGGCCUUCUGGACGGUGACUGACGCUGAGACGCGAAAGCGUGGGGAGCAAACAGGAUUAGAUACCCUGGUAGUCCACGCCGUAAACGAUGAGUGCUAGGUGUCACGGGCUUUGACCCUCGUGGUGCCGAAGCUAACGCGUUAAGCACUCCGCCUGGGGAGUACGGCCGCAAGGCUAAA